GGGACAGUUAUAGUGGUGAGUUGUAUCUCCAGACAGAGGAACAGUUAUAGUGGUGAGUUGUAUCUCCAGAGGAACAGUUAUAGUGGUGAGUUGUAUCUCCAGACAGAGGGUAAGUUAUAGUGGUGAGUUGUAUCUCUAGACAGAGGAACAGUUAUAGUGGUGAGCUGUAUCUCCAGAGGAACAGUUAUAGUGGUGAGUUGUAUCUCCAGACAGAGGAACAGUUAUAGUGGUGAGUUGUAUCUCCAGACAGAGGUACAGUUAUAGUGGUGAGUUGUAUCUCCUGAGGAACAGUUAUAGUGGUGAGUUGUAUCUCCAGACAGAGGUACAGUUAUAGUGGUGAGUUGUAUCUCCAGACAGAGGAACAGUUAUAGUGGUGAGUUGUAUCUCCAGAGGAACAGUCAUAGUGGUGAGUUGUAUCCCCAGAGGAACAGUUAUAGUGGUGAGUUGUAUCUCCAGAGGAACAGUUAUAGUGGUGAGUUGUAUCUCCAGAGGAACAGUUAUAGUGGUGAGUUGUAUCUCCAGACAGAGGGACAGUUAUAGUGGUGAGUUGUAUCUCCAGACAUAGGAACAGUUAUAGUGGUGAGUUGUAUCUCCAGAGGAACAGUUCUAGUGGUGAGUUGUAUCGCCAGAGGAACAGUUAUAGUGGUGAGUUGUAUCGCCAGAGGAACAGUUAUAGUGGUGAGUUGUAUCCCCAGACAGAGGUACAGUCAUAGUGGUGAGUUGUAUCUCCAGAGGAACAGUUCUAGUGGUGAGUUGUAUCUCCAGAGGAACAGUUCUAGUGGUGAGUUGUAUCGCCAGAGGAACAGUUAUAGUGGUGAG
Long non-coding RNA from Oncorhynchus tshawytscha (Chinook salmon), 819 nucleotides. The record is from Ensembl. Lineage: Eukaryota; Metazoa; Chordata; Actinopteri; Salmoniformes; Salmonidae.